RNAcentral lists this ribosomal RNA (279 nucleotides) under uncultured Staphylococcus sp. Its description in RNAcentral is "partial 16S ribosomal RNA". It matches the Rfam family "Bacterial small subunit ribosomal RNA", at positions 505 to 783 of the family's 1533-position model. The record is from RNAcentral. Lineage: Bacteria; Bacillati; Bacillota; Bacilli; Caryophanales; Staphylococcaceae.
GUGCCAGCAGCCGCGGUAAUACGUAGGUGGCAAGCGUUAUCCGGAAUUAUUGGGCGUAAAGCGCGCGUGGGCGGUUUUUUAAGUCUGAUGUGAAAGCCCACGGCUCAACCGUGGAGGGUCAUUGGAAACUGGAAAACUUGAGUGCGGAAGAGGAAAGUGGAAUUCCAUGUGUAGCGGUGAAAUGCGCAGAGAUAUGGAGGAACACCAGUGGCGAAGGCGACUUUCUGGUCUGUAACUGACGCUGAUGUGCGAAAGCGUGGGGAUCAAACAGGAUUAGAU